UCCAGACUCCUACGGGAGGCAGCAGUGGGGAAUAUUGGGCAAUGGGCGCAAGCCUGACCCAGCAACGCCGCGUGAAGGAAGAAGGCUUUCGGGUUGUAAACUUCUUUUAAGAGGGAAGAGUAGAAGACGGUACCUCUUGAAUAAGCCACGGCUAACUACGUGCCAGCAGCCGCGGUAAUACGUAGGUGGCAAGCGUUAUCCGGAUUUACUGGGUGUAAAGGGCGUGUAGGCGGGAAAGCAAGUCAGAUGUGAAAACCAUGGGCUCAACCUGUGGCCUGCAUUUGAAACUGUUUUUCUUGAGUACUGGAGAGGCAGACGGAAUUCCUAGUGUAGCGGUGAAAUGCGUAGAUAUUAGGAGGAACACCGGCGGCGAAGGCGGCCUGCUGGACCGUGACUGACGUUGAGGCUCGAGAGCGUGGGGAGCAAACAGGAUUAGAUACCCCAGUAAAA
RNAcentral lists this ribosomal RNA (450 nucleotides) under uncultured bacterium. RNAcentral describes it as "bacterial SSU rRNA". It matches the Rfam family "Bacterial small subunit ribosomal RNA", at positions 330 to 793 of the family's 1533-position model. The record is from RNAcentral.